GAACUCGUUUUCUUGAUGAUCUAGCCCUAGCAAACAUGUGGAUAGGAAUCACAUUAGCAUGGACUCAAGAACGGAAGGUUAACGGGUCAAGCGGAGGCGAGGAAUCAAGCAUGAACACUAACGCUUAAGGUUGUACAAAUCAUAGAUUAUCACCAUGAGGUGUAGCGAUCAAAGACCGAGUCACGAGAUAGAUUGUACGGG
This is a long non-coding RNA of Helianthus annuus (common sunflower), 201 nucleotides long. RefSeq lists it as uncharacterized. NCBI's taxonomy places the organism in Eukaryota, Viridiplantae, Streptophyta, Magnoliopsida, Asterales, Asteraceae. The transcript is spliced from 3 exons. The record is from RefSeq and is a predicted model, not a curated record.